GAUGAAGAACGCAGCGAAAUGCGAUAAGUAAUGUGAAUUGCAGAAUUCAGUGAAUCAUCCAAUCUUUGAACGCACAUUGCGCCCCCUGGUAUUCCGGGGGGCAUGCCUGUCCGAGCGUCAUUACAACCCUCAAGCUCAGCUUGGUGUUGGGCCCCGCCGCCCCGGCGGGCCCUAAAGUCAGUGGCGGUGCCGUCCGGCUCCGAGCGUAGUAAUUCUUCUCGCUCUGGAGGCCCGGUCGUGUGCUCGCCAGCAACCCCCAAUUUUUUUCAGGUUGACCUCGGAUCAGGUAGGGAUACCCGCUGAACUUAAGCAUAUCAAUAAGCGGAGGA
This 329-nucleotide unclassified non-coding RNA is filed under the name soil metagenome. Its description in RNAcentral is "partial contains 5.8S ribosomal RNA, internal transcribed spacer 2, and large subunit ribosomal RNA". The stretch from base 1 to 120 matches the Rfam family "5.8S ribosomal RNA", at positions 35 to 154 of the family's 154-position model. The record is from RNAcentral.